Molecule: non-coding RNA, 508 nt
Organism: Pogona vitticeps (central bearded dragon)
Lineage: Eukaryota; Metazoa; Chordata; Lepidosauria; Squamata; Agamidae
Source: RefSeq, a predicted model, not a curated record
AGGCCGUAAGAGCUUUUCAGGGAUGCAAUGGGAGAUUUCUUCCCAAAGUAAACAGGGUGUUCCCUCAGGAUUGCAGCAGAAAACAGGGGGGGAGGGGUUCAGAAUCUCUUUCUAUGCCUGCUUUGAUCAUUCCUAGAAUGAAUAGUUGUCCUUUCAUUCACUUCUGCCAUAGUUACAGCCACCUUGAGAUCAUUUAACAAGAGAAAGAAUCAAGUCCAGCUUGACCCUGAACAGAAAUAGGCUUUCUGGACCAAAGACCCUGACAGGCAGCAGUGAGGUUUCCGUGAGUGGUACCGACAUUUGUAUACUGAGCAGUGGAAGUAAGAAUGCGCACUGGGUGCAUAACAUUUCAAAUGAAUUUGGAGUGGAAAGAAGAGUGGCAGCAAAAAAAGGAGGAAGACUUGAGCAGCCGUGCCAUGUUCAUCUAGCACAAAUAGGGCUGGCUGAAGAAGCCAGGCAAGGCUGCCAGCAGCCAUGUUUGCCACCUUCUCUCUGUGUGUGAAGCCAA